Molecule: ribosomal RNA, 253 nt
Filed under: uncultured bacterium
Lineage: Bacteria
Description: partial 16S ribosomal RNA
Rfam family: Bacterial small subunit ribosomal RNA
Source: RNAcentral
UACGGAGGGAGCUAGCGUUGUUCGGAAUUACUGGGCGUAAAGCGCGCGUAGGCGGCUUUGUAAGUUAGAGGUGAAAGCCCGGGGCUCAACCCCGGAACUGCCUUUAAGACUGCAUCGCUUGAAUCCAGGAGAGGUGAGUGGAAUUCCGAGUGUAGAGGUGAAAUUCGUAGAUAUUCGGAAGAACACCAGUGGCGAAGGCGGCUCACUGGACUGGUAUUGACGCUGAGGUGCGAAAGCGUGGGGAGCAAACGGG